GGAACUCAUCCAUGGAAGUCACCCCACCUGGUAGCCAUUAAACAAGCAAAAAAGAAAUUUCAAUAUACAAGGAAUGACUCUCCCUUUCUUCAACAAGCAUCCAGUGAAAUGGAUAAACUGAAGCCUAAAAUCCAUGGGAUACUCUAAUAUCAGAGGCCACAAAAUAUGUUUCUAAAUGUCCUAGACCCAAAACAGGAUUCAGUACAUCUGGUAUCUCGAUUGGAGAGCAAGUGAAUGAUGAUGAAACACUGUAGGUUAUAUCUAUCAAUGUGCCAUUGUUAGAUGUUAAUUGGGGGCUGCAUCAUCUGGAAUAAAGUAGUGACGACGAAAAGGUUCCAGAAAUGAGUCAAACAUGGUUCCUACAUAUGCACACAGUACAGAACAGACAAAGAAAGUAAGGUAUUCCUGAAUAUGCAUCCUCUUUUACAUCUUUAUUUUUUUAAUUCCUAUUCUCUCAUAAGGACACAACAAUUCACACCAAACUCAGAACUAGAACAAUUCACACCAAACUCAGAACUGGGUUUUAAUCAGGGAAAUGUUAUGUUCCAUAUCUCUUAACCCCACCAAAAAAAAAAAAGGAUUUCGAGCAAAUUGAAGUCGGUGAUUUAUGAAUAUGGAAAAAGAACCUGAAAUCCCAAUAUCAUAGCCGAAGAGAGAUCCUCCAACGGCGGCAAUGAUGCAGGUGAUGACGACAUAAGCUGUAACUCUACCCUUGUAUUGAGCUGCUCUCUCCUUCGCCACACCUUGCGCAAAUGACCCUCCUGCCAUUUCUGCCCCACAGAAAAAAAGAAAAAGCUCAAGGCCGACUCUUGUUCUGUUCUCAGAGAUUAUUAUUCCCACACUGCUUCUAAUUUAUCCACUUUCGGAGACGGAUAAGAAUGAAGGGGGAAAAAAAGGCAACUCUUUUUGCGAAACCCCCCCAACAAUUCCGGCAAGAGAAAUUCCUCAGUGGACGCGAACUUUAAUGUUGGUUUCGGUUUUUUUGUUCUGACAGUGCAACUGUACAUUUAUCACUCAUUCUUGGUUGGCUUCUCCAUCUUAAUCUCUUCUCACAGGGUUUCAAGGAACGACUCAUAAGAAUUAGGAUAGUGACCAGCAUGAGGAGGUGUUCCCAUUUGUAUGAACUUGUAUUGGUUCGGAAAGUCCUCUGAAUGACGCAAUAUUCAAUGUUGAUGUGCUUAGCAUGUGGUGGAAAUUAGGAAUAGGAUGACUGUGCAAUGCAUGUGCAGGCAGGUACAAGGGAAACUCAUUUUUGGGGAUGAGAAUGGUUAAUGAUUUUUGUUUUUAAGGUUCGUGAUUUGUUUCCUUUGUUUAUUCUAUGAAUCAUAAUCCAUUGGCGGCUCUGUGCCACGUGUGUAUUCUUUGGUAUUUUGAAUCGGAUUUUCUGGAUCUUAUCCUGUUUGUCCGUUAAUAGGAGAUAGAUAGAACAAUUUGGAUUUUUA
This is a long non-coding RNA of Prosopis cineraria, 1442 nucleotides long. RefSeq lists it as uncharacterized. NCBI's taxonomy places the organism in Eukaryota, Viridiplantae, Streptophyta, Magnoliopsida, Fabales, Fabaceae. The transcript is spliced from 2 exons. The record is from RefSeq and is a predicted model, not a curated record.